This 52-nucleotide transfer RNA is filed under the name Convolvulus x despreauxii. RNAcentral describes it as "partial tRNA-His". Lineage: Eukaryota; Viridiplantae; Streptophyta; Magnoliopsida; Solanales; Convolvulaceae. The record is from RNAcentral.
GGGCGGAUGUAGCCAAGUGGAUUAAGGCGGUGGAUUGUGAAUCCACCUGGCC